RNAcentral lists this long non-coding RNA (4740 nucleotides) under Mytilus galloprovincialis (Mediterranean mussel). Lineage: Eukaryota; Metazoa; Mollusca; Bivalvia; Mytilida; Mytilidae. The record is from RNAcentral.
GCAAUGUGACCAAGAUGUUCUAAUAUGAUUGGUGUAUAUCAAAGUAAACAAGAAGAUCUAAUACCAUUGGUUUAUUUCAAUGCAUAGUUUAACAUAUAAAUAAAUUAUAGCACACAUUAAUUGGACUACAUUAUUAAGCAAUUACACAGUCAGAAUAAAACUUCUGUCAUAAUUCUCCUAGUUAGUUAUUACACAGUCAGAAUAAAACUGUCAUAACUCUCCUAGUUAGUUAUUUCACAGUCAGAAUAAAACUGUCAUAAUUCUCCUAGUUAGUUAUUUCACAGUCAGAAUAAAACUGUCAUAAUUCUCCUAGUUAGUUAUUUCACAGUCAGAAUAAAACUGUCAUAAUUCUCCUAGUCAGUUAUUUCACAGUCAGAAUAAAACCUGUCAUAAUUUUUCUAGUUAGUUCAAUGUACUAACAAUUGACCUUAUUCAAUGUUGGUUUUUCAUUUCCAAAUUUUAAAUUCCUGUUUUUAGCCUUUUUUUUAUUUUAAUCAUUUAUGCCGUAUAAACGAAAGAACAGACGGCAUUGGUAUAACGCACAGACCAGAAAACAUAUCGCCAAUAAAUGGGGCAUCAAAAACACUAUAUUCUUACUCUUAAAAAAAAACGUAUGUUAAAACUUGAACUUAUUUUAAAAAAAAUAAUAUUUUAUUAAUAAUUAUAAUGAAAACUAAUCUGUCUGAAAAAAUAUCUGCCUCAUUUAUCAUUAUAAAGAAGUGUUUUUUCACAAAAUAUAAGAUGAAUGUUGUCAAAAGAUACAUUUCAUAAAUAAUCAUUUAAAAAGUCUUCCCAAACAUGCACAUAGCUUAAAAUUUAUCAAUCAAUAUCAAACAUUGAUAAUAAAUAAAAUAAACAAUAUAUAUUGCACAUAAUUAUACAUAAUGUGAUUUGUCAUAAAAAGUGUGUACAUAAAAAAAAACAUUAGACCUAGUUUAUUAAUAACACAUGUUACACAUGUAUAAUAAGAUAAAUUUAUUGAUUUUAAUUUCUGAAGAACAAAAUUCUUUUAAAAUAAGGGGAGGGGGUUAAAACCUGGAUUUCAGCAUUUUUAAAAUGAGUUUUCUCCCUUUGAUCAGUAUUCAUUCCUAACCAGCGUGAAACAGACAUUACAGUUGUAAGAAUAUAUUAGUUUAAUGAGUAACCCCACCUUCUUGUUUGAUUGAACUUUGAAAUUAACAUGUCCAUAUGUGUCAUACUAAAAACAUUAGAAUUUAAAUGAAGAAAUCUAAAUAUUGGGAAUUUUAAACAAUAUUUUGCAAGUAAAUUUCACAAAUUUUCACAAUUUUGCUUUGUCCAUCUUUGACAGAUUAUUUUGAAGGAACACAAAUAAAUCUUAAACAAACAUUGAUCAGAUAACAAACUGUUAAUUUUUGGGACUUUGGAAGGAAAACUGGCAAUUGAUGUCACUUAAAAUGUAAAUUGAACACAAUUUGCCACAUGUGAGGUAUGUUCUAAAAAUCUGACAAGCUACAGGCGCCGAUCCAGAGGGGGGGUUCCGGGGGUUGGAAACCCCCCCCCCUUUGUCCUGGGUUAGGACCCCCCCCCCCCACUUUUUAAAAUGACUGGAUCCGCCCCUAAGCUAUUUAUCACUAAAGAUGAAUUAUUAAAAACCUUUGUCCACCACAACUGGACAUGCCAGUGAUCAUUAUAUAUUGUCCACCAAGGUCCUGAUUAUUCUAUGAAAUUUCCAAUAAAACCAAAACAAGGUGCAACCAAUCACCAUAAUGGUGGCAUCAUAUAUGUCAUCACUAUAAUGGUGGCAUCAUAUAUGUCAUCACUAUAAUGGUGGCAUCAUAUGUGUCAUCACUAUAAAGGUGGCAUCAUAUAUGUCAUCACUAUAAUGGUGGCAUCAAAUAUGUCAUAGACACAAAAUAAUACAAAGAUAUAACAACUAACACCGGUACUAGAUAUCUAUAUAGAACAAUACAACACUGAAGACGCCAUAAUUGAGGUUGGAGUGAACAGGAAGAAACUUAAUUUUGUGGAUAAUUUAUUUCAUGAUAUAUGCUAAGCAUGUUAAGCCAAAGACCAAAUCAUCAGUACGUUUGUGUCCAUCAUUUUCAUAAAUCGAUUCUAAGCUUCUAUGUUACAUGGAGGAUUUCCAAUCUGUUUUAGGUAAAAGCUUAAAAUACAUUGAUAAAUCGUGAAUUUUAUAAAUGCAUAACUGAUUUAAAGGGUUAUCUUCCUGAACCAAGGUCUACUCCCUUAAAUCAAAGAAGAAUCAACUUUUACAUAUUCGUGACGAUUUAUAUUGGCUAUAUUUUUUUACCGGCAAAAAUAAGUUGGUUUACAGUAAACAUGGUAAAUGAUCUGACAUUGCAAAUAGCAUUUAAAUAUUCUGACCCAAAUCCUAUUAAAUUUAAAUAAUUUUAUCAAAUGGUUGUAAUUACAAAAGUGUUGUAGUCUGUUAAAACAGUUUCUAUCUUUAAAAUAAAUUGGCCAAAAAUUCAACAUUGUUACUGUACAAAUGCUGUAUUACAUGUAAUGAUGUAUAUUAUACAUGUUAUAUGGAAUCGACUCUGGUACUAUCUUUUUCAUUCCUUUAUACCAUAAAGUGGGUUAUUUUCGCACGGGUGUAAAUUUUCGGUUAUUUUCUGGGAUAGAUCAAAAUUGUUUAAAUAAAUUUUACCAAUUCAAAAGCCCACAUGCAAAGGUAUUGAUAAAAGUUUUGAAUUUGCCAAAAUGAUAACGGCUAAAAACAAUUGUAUACCUUAUUCAAUGAAAAUCCCAAAAUUUUACACCAGCAAAAAAACCUGCUUUACGAUACCAUGGGGCCUCUACCGAUAUAUCAUGUGUACAAUCCUUUUACUUAUCUUAAUUAUAUUUCUGCCUUACUUAUGAUGUGUAUGUAGUUUAUAAAUACUGUGACUGGAUCCAUGUAAUAGAUUCCAUAUAUGUAUAUAUCCAUAUAAUUCAAAAUUUCAGAAAAUAAAAAAGUAUAUAAAAAUAAAAUUUAGCAGAAAAAAGUGGAAUAUAAAAAGUACAAGAACUGUCAUGACUGUAUAAUAAAAUAUAAUUCUGAUGUUGAAAUGAAUGAAUACAUGUCAGUUUUAUGCAAAAUAUAAAAUCAGCAAAUUUGACGGUUACAAAGUUAUUCUCAAAGCUAUAAAUAAAAACAAAUAGGUUAAAAUUGAGGUCGUUACCAUCAUACACUACAACCAGCAUGGGUUUGUUCUUCCACUCAUCCAUUGUGUCCACCAUUUUAAGAGGAUAUGCCACUUCUAUAUUUUUGAUAUGUGGGGUUGGAAAGAGUUAAGACAGAUAAAAAUUAUAAAUGACAGCCAAAAAUCAAAGUGGCAAGUAUAAAUAAAAUAAUUAAUCUUUUAUCAUAAUUAAAGAAUUUAGCAUAAAAAUCACUUUGAUUUUUUUUUUAGAAACUACCGUAUGAAAUUUUAUUGAAUCUUUUUUAAAUUGAGUGGAUAUAAGUUGGUUCUCCACAGUGGACAGGUACAGAAAGAAGCAUCCAUUUUAGCUGUAGCGUAUUUGACUAGAUCUUAUAAAGAAUAUCUACAAUGGCAGAGGUUUAUCUUGAGUCUAAUGCUGGCUAAUGCUUUAAAAACAGUAAAUAAAUAUACCCUUUUGAUUCUAAAUUGAACUUAUUUUUAGUUUUUGAAAAAAAUAUAUGUUCGUUUUCAUGCUCCUUGUCAACGAUUUUAUUGCUGUGUUGGAGAUUAGUUAGAGGCCUUUGGCUGUUUUAUGCUGUUUGGUCAGGUUGUUGUCUCUUUGACACAUUCCUCAUUUCCUUUCUCAAUUUUAUUUAGUAAAAUUUGACCUGUCUAUCAAGUUAAUUGUCAUGAUUGUGCAAAAUAUAAUUUAAAAAUAAAAUGAAAUAAAAAAAUCAAAAUGGUUUUCUGGUACAUCAUGUUCUUAUAAAAAUUUAAUCUUUAAAGAAAUUACACUGGUACGCAUUUAAAAGACAUAGUUAAAAUGAGCACCAUUAAACUGUACUUUUUUUCAACGUUAACAAAACUGUUAUUGUCAUCAAAGUUAUACAUUACUUAAAAUUCAUACAAGUUAAGAGUGUUAAUUACAUUGAAACAUAUAAAAUGCUAGAUAAUCAUUUCAUUUGAGCUACGUCAGACAGAAAUCAACCUUAAGCAAGUGCAUGUAUACAUGCAUAUAUGUACAUGUGCAAAAAAGUUCCAAAAAGAAAUAACAAGAUAAAAGUGUGUGUCUUAUUUUUUUUCCUUUAUUUUGUUAUAAAUUGAAAGUAUAUUAAUAAAAAAACUAAAAAAGCAGAAAAAAAUGGAGGUUCCGUGUGCUUGUUUUCGAGAUAUAAGCCGUUGAAAAAUUUGGCGGGAAAUAAUUCUCUCUAGGUUUUUCGUUCACUUAACAUUGGCACCUUUUUUGUUAAAAAAAUAAGAAAAAAUAACAAGGAUUUCAUAAGAUUUUGAAAUAUGGCUUUUUAAAUAAUAUGUAAUAAAAAUAGGAAAAGAAAAAUAGAGGUUAGUGGGCAAAUUUUUUUUAAUGUUAAUACAUGUAUAGAACCAGAGGAUUCCAAAAAUCUGGCAAAAAUUCAAAAAGUAGAGGAGCAAACAUCCUUAAGGUUACAUAUAAAUUUUAUGUCUUAUAACAGGUAUUUUCAUUUACAGACUUUCAAUAGAUUUUUUUAAAAUAGGUUACAAGAAGCAUCAAUCUUCAUUUGUAUAACAUGUAUAAGGUCGAUUUCUAUCUGACACAACUCAUUUCACAUGUUUAAAUAUGCUCAACUUAAGGUAAGUUAUGACAGAUAUUUAA